GACGAACGCUGGCGGCGUGCUUAACACAUGCAAGUCGAACGGAAAGGCCCUGCUUUUGUGCGGUGCUCGAGUGGCGAACGGGUGAGUAACACGUGAGUAAUCUGCCCUUGACAUUGGGAUAACUUCAGGAAACAGGGGGUAAUACCGGAUAGGAGCUCCUGAUGCAUAGUGGGGGUUGGAAAGUGUCGGCGGUUGGGGAUGGACUCGCGGCUUAUCAGCCUGUUGGGGGGGUAGUGGCUUACAAAGGCUUCGACGGGUAGCCGGCCUGAGAGGGUGACCGGCCACAUUGGGACUGAGAGACGGCGCAGACUCCUACGGGAGGCAGCAGUGGGGAAUAUUGCACAAUGGGCGCAAGCCUGAUGCAGCAACGCCGCGUGCGGGAUGACGGCCUUCGGGUUGUAAACCGCUUUCGCCGGGGACGAAGCGUGAGUGACGGUAAUGGGUAAAGAAGCACCGGCUAACUACGUG
RNAcentral lists this ribosomal RNA (468 nucleotides) under uncultured bacterium. RNAcentral describes it as "partial 16S ribosomal RNA". It matches the Rfam family "Bacterial small subunit ribosomal RNA", at positions 28 to 507 of the family's 1533-position model. The record is from RNAcentral.